RNAcentral lists this transfer RNA (74 nucleotides) under Chloroflexota bacterium. Its description in RNAcentral is "Chloroflexi bacterium (groundwater metagenome) tRNA-Val". It matches the Rfam family "tRNA". Rfam says of the family: Transfer RNA (tRNA) molecules are approximately 80 nucleotides in length. Their secondary structure includes four short double-helical elements and three loops (D, anti-codon, and T loops). Lineage: Bacteria; Bacillati; Chloroflexota. The record is from RNAcentral.
GGGCGGGUAGCUCAGCUGGUUAGAGCACAUCGUUGACAUCGAUGAGGUCGCAGGUUCGAUCCCUGUCUCGCCCA